RNAcentral lists this ribosomal RNA (379 nucleotides) under uncultured eukaryote. RNAcentral's name for it is "partial 18S ribosomal RNA". It matches the Rfam family "Eukaryotic small subunit ribosomal RNA", at positions 592 to 976 of the family's 1831-position model. The record is from RNAcentral.
CAAUAGCGUAUAUUUAAGCUGUUGCAGUUAAAAAGCUCGUAGUUGGAUUUCGGAUGGGACUUGCCGGUCCGUCGUUUCGAUGUGCACUGGCCAGUCCUAUCUUGUUGUCGGGGACUAGCUCCUGGGCUUCACUGUCCGGGACUAGGAGCUGACGAGGUUACUUUGAGUAAAUUAGAGUGUUCAAAGCAAGCCUACGCUCUGAAUACAUUAGCAUGGAAUAACACGAUAGGACUCUGGCUUAUCUUGUUGGUCUGUGAGACCAGAGUAAUGAUUAAGAGGGACAGUCGGGGGCAUUCGUAUUUCAUUGUCAGAGGUGAAAUUCUUGGAUUUAUGAAAGACGAACUUCUGCGAAAGCAUUUGUCAAGGAUGUUUUCAUUAA